Molecule: ribosomal RNA, 496 nt
Filed under: uncultured bacterium
Lineage: Bacteria
Description: partial 16S ribosomal RNA
Rfam family: Bacterial small subunit ribosomal RNA
Source: RNAcentral
GAUGAACGCUGGCGGCGUGCCUAAUACAUGCAAGUCGAGCGAACGGACGAGAAGCUUGCUUCUCUGAUGUUAGCGGCGGACGGGUGAGUAACACGUGGAUAACCUACCUAUAAGACUGGGAUAACUUCGGGAAACCGGAGCUAAUACCGGAUAAUAUUUUGAACCGCAUGGUUCAAAAGUGAAAGACGGUCUUGCUGUCACUUAUAGAUGGAUCCGCGCUGCAUUAGCUAGUUGGUAAGGUAACGGCUUACCAAGGCAACGAUGCAUAGCCGACCUGAGAGGGUGAUCGGCCACACUGGAACUGAGACACGGUCCAGACUCCUACGGGAGGCAGCAGUAGGGAAUCUUCCGCAAUGGGCGAAAGCCUGACGGAGCAACGCUGCGUGAGUGAUGAAGGUCUUCGGAUCGUAAAACUCUGUUAUUAGGGAAGAACAUAUGUGUAAGUAACUGUGCACAUCUUGACGGUACCUAAUCAGAAAGCCACGGCUAACUACGU